UCGAUCCUGGCUCAGAUUGAACGUUGGCGGGAUGCUUUACACAUGCAAGUCGAACGGCAGCACGGACUUCGGUCUGGUGGCGAGUGGCGAACGGGUGAGUAAUGUAUCGAAUGCCUAGUAGCGGGGAAUAACUACGCGAAAGCGCCAAUACCGCAUACGCCCUCGGGGGAAAGCGGGGGACCUUCGGGCCUCGCACUAUUAGGAGCGGCUGAUAUCGGAUUAGCUAGUUGUGGGGUAACGGCUCACCAAGGGCGACGAUCCGUAGCUGGUUUGAGAGGACGACCAGCCACACUGGGAUUGAUGAUGGGCCCAGAUUCCCUACGGGAGUGUGCGCAGUGGGGAAUUUUGGGAAUAUUAAUGGGGGGAAACCCUGAUCCAAAUAUCCCGCGUGUGCGAUGAAGGCCUCGGGUUGUAAAGCACUUUGGCAGGAAAGAAACGGCAUACGGGAUAAUACCCCGUGCAACUGACGGUACCUGCAGAAUAAGCACCGGCUAACUACGUGCCAGCAGCCGCGGUGAAUAAUGUAGGCAGGCGUUAGACCGGAAUUACUGGCGUAAAGCGUGCGGUAUUCGGAAAGAAAGAUGUGAAAUCCCAGAGCUUAACUUUGGAACUACUUAACUACCGAGCUAGAGUGUGUCAGAGGGAGGUGGAAUCUCCGCGUGGCAAAGAGAAACGCGAUGAGGAACACCGAUGGCGAAGGCAGCCUCCUGGGAUAACACUGACGCUCAUGCACGAAAGCGUGGGGAGCAAACAGAUUAGAUACCCUUAUAGUCCACGCCCUAAACGAUGUCAACUAGCUGUUGUACUGGGCCUUGGUAGCGCAGCUAACGCGUGAAGUUGACCGCCUGGGGAGCGACGGCCCGCAAGAUUAAAACUCAAAGGAACGAUGGGACCGCACAAGCGGUGGAUAUGGAUUAAUUCGAUGCAACGCGAAAACCUUACCUACCCUUGACAUGUCUGGAAUCCCGAAGAGAUUUGGGAGUGCUCGCAGAGAACCGGAACAGGUGCUGCAGGCGAUGUCGUCAGCUCGUGUCGUGAGAUGCUGGGUUAAGUCCCGCAACGAGCGCAACCCUUGUCAUUAGUUGCUACGAAAGGGCACUCUAAUGAGACUGCCGGUGACAAACCGGAGGAAGGUGGGGAUGACGUCAAGUCCUCAUGGCCCUUAUGGGUAGGGCUUCACACGUCAUACAAUGGUCGGGACAGAUGUGUCGCCAACCCGCGAGGGGGACAAUCCCAGAACCCGAUCGUAGUCCGGAUCGUAGUCUGCAACUCGACUGCGUGAAGUCGGAAUCGCUAGUAAUCGCGGAUCAGCAUGUCGCGGUGAAUACGUUCCCGGGUCUUGUACACACCGCCUCGUCACACCAUGGGAGUGGGUUUUACCAGAAGUAGUUAGCCUAACCGUAAGGAGGGCGAUUACCACGGUAGGAUUCAUGACUGGGGUGAAGUCGUAACAAGGUAG
RNAcentral lists this ribosomal RNA (1459 nucleotides) under uncultured Bordetella sp. RNAcentral describes it as "partial 16S-23S ribosomal RNA intergenic spacer". It matches the Rfam family "Bacterial small subunit ribosomal RNA". Lineage: Bacteria; Pseudomonadati; Pseudomonadota; Betaproteobacteria; Burkholderiales; Alcaligenaceae. The record is from RNAcentral.